GGUGGUGCAGGUAAAUCGGAGAUAGGGUAGGCGGCGCUUCGACGCUUGUCCGAAAUUUAAGAAGCUAAGGUUUGAGUGGGUGGCUUCAGUCUUGCUCAUUCCCGACAAUUAAAAUGGAGAUAAGCAUGUAGAAAGCAAAUUAUUUCCUCGUUUGGACGAGGGUUCAAGUCCCUCCAGCUCCACUG
Molecule: transfer-messenger RNA, 185 nt
Filed under: Porphyromonadaceae bacterium
Lineage: Bacteria; Pseudomonadati; Bacteroidota; Bacteroidia; Bacteroidales; Porphyromonadaceae
Description: partial transfer-messenger RNA
Rfam family: transfer-messenger RNA
About the family: Bacterial tmRNA, also known as 10Sa RNA or SsrA, is named for its dual tRNA and mRNA-like properties. Its role is to liberate the mRNA from a stalled ribosome.
Source: RNAcentral